RNAcentral lists this long non-coding RNA (382 nucleotides) under Lynx canadensis (Canada lynx). Its description in RNAcentral is "lncRNA (ENSLCNG00005000194.1)". Lineage: Eukaryota; Metazoa; Chordata; Mammalia; Carnivora; Felidae. The record is from RNAcentral.
AUACAAGAGGACAAGAAGAAAUAGACCUUUCCAGAAACAUGGCCCGUGACACGAGAUGACUCCUUCAUUAGUUUGCCUCAAGUGGCUGAGGGGCAUGGAGUGCUGCCUUGCACAUGCACGUGAUGCAAAGAAAUGAAAAGAAUGAGAAUGCUCUACAGACAUCACAUCAGAAAGAAAACACUCGCAUGGGCCAGUAUGGAGUGGACAGAGGAACAGGAGUGACAGAGUUCAGGGGCAGAGGAAGAAGACACGGACCAGAUGAGGUGAGAAACAGCCUCCUCUGUCAGCAGGGCCCUGGCAGGGUGCUCAUUACCGUUGACUUCUCACCACCCUUCCCGCACACUAGACGAUCAGUCGAGGCUGGCUGUGGUAAUUCCAUUCG